UUCCAUCCCCUGCCACUGUCCCUUUAAAGCUGUGAGUCUAUACUGUAUUCCAUCCCCUGCCCACUGUCCCUUUAAAGCUGUGAGUCUAUACUGUAGUUCAUCCCCUGCCCACUGUCCCUUUAAAGCUGCGAGUCUAUACUGUAUUCCAUCCCCUGCCACUGUCCCUUUAAAGCUGUGAGUCUAUACUGUAUUCCAUCCCCUGCCACUGUCCCUUUAAAGCUGUGAGUCUAUACUGUAGUUCAUCCCCUGCCCACUGUCCCUUUAAAGCUGUGAGUCUAUACUGUAUUCCAUCCCCUGCCACUGUCCCUUUAAAGCUGUGAGUCUAUACUGUACUCCAUCCCCUGCCACUGUCCCUUUAAAGCUGGGGCAUACACACUACCAGAGUCAGACUUCUACCUCCAUGACAUUGACCUGCCCUACUGGCUGACCAACGGAUACUACAGAGUACAAGGAGUGCUGGGAGCUAUGGGGAAAGAGCUGGGCUGCCUCAAAAUCACCUUCUCUGUCCACUCUAAUAACUAAAUGAUGGAUAAAUUACCUUCUCUUUCCACUCUAAUAACUAAAUUAUGGAUAAAUGACCUUCUCUGCCCACUCUAGUUAAAUGGUGGAUAAAUUACCUUCUCUGCCCUAAAUGGUGGACACAGGGAACAUUAUCUACCAUUCAAUGAGCUGGUGUACUGACAUUUUGUCUUCUUUAUUCUGAAGGGAACUUCUGCUCUCAUCUCUUCUCAUCUCAUCAAAGUGCCAAUUGACAACUGGGCCUGUAUACACAAAGCCUCUCAGAGUAGGAGUGCUGCUCUAGGAUCAGUUUUACCUUUACAAUCGUAAUGAAUAAGAGACCGGGACCUGAUCCUAGAUCAGUACUCUAAAACGCUUUGUGGAUACUGGCCCUGUACCAAACAAGCAGUAACUGAGCUGCUACUGUAGUGGUACUGUAGUUUAAGGAUACGAUUCAGACUCACUUUCAGGUAAAACAGUUAAGUUGAGUGAUUUUGCAUGGCUUGCUACUGUACUGCUAUGAACUUGUCAGAACCAUUAUGAUUAUUUUUCAUAAUGUUUUACACUGUCUUUUUUUAUUCAGAAUUAUUUUUAUUUGAUUUCUUCUCAAGGUUGAAUGGCCGUGGGUAUGCUGCUAUUGGUCAUCGGCUUUUACCCAGGGUAAGGUACUGGUCACAUAACUAGUAGUUUUAGGAGUUUUAAUUGUGACAGUCGUUUCUAGCUGAUGCUUACUGUGUCAUCAUUUUUGGUUCUAUGGGUCGUAAUGCUACUUCCUGUUGCUAGUGGUGACACUUCUGAUUUUACGACCCCUGGGAAUACGUUGUUCUUCCUGUUGAGGGUGGUGACACUUCUGAUUUUACGACCCCUGGGAAUACGUUGUUCUUCCUGUUGCUAGUGGUGACACUUCUGAUUUUACGACCCCUGGGAAUAUGUUGUUCUUCCUGUUGCUAGUGGUGACCCUUCUGAUUUUACGACCCCUGGGAAUACGUUGUUCUUCCUGUUGAGGGUGGUGACACUUCUGAUUUUACGACCCCUGGGAAUACGUUGUUCUUCCUGUUGCUAGUGGUGACACUUCUGAUUUUACGACCCCUGGGAAUACGUUGUUCUUCCUGUUGCUAGUGGUGACACUUCUGAUUUUACGACCCCUGGGAAUAUGUUGUUCUUCCUGUUGAGGGUGGUGACACUUCUGAUUUUACGACCCCUGGGAAUAUGUUGUUCUUCCUGUUGAGGGUGGUGACACUUCUGAUUUUACGACCCCUGGGAAUAUGUUGUUCUUCCUGUUGAGGGUGGUGACACUUCUGAUUUUACGACCCCUGGGAAUAUGUUGUUCUUCCUGUUGAGGGUGUAUUGAUCUGUUUUUUUUUCUGAAGGUGUUUUGUUGUUGACAUGUACAAAGUGCCUAAAUAGACCUGCUGGAAAGGAGAUCUGCGAAUCAGGUGGGACUGUGUGAUGUUUCAAAGGGAAAUGGAAUGAAAGCAGCCAAUCAAUUCCCCCCCUCAUAUAAUACCGUACCAAUAGGCUAAUCCUGUUCUAUAACCAAUCAAAGUGUUGUAAGGAAUGUAAGUGCAUAAUUAUUCUAAUGAAAUGGUUAGCAAGUAAAGAAGUCUUAAGGAAUCAACACGAAAAAAUUGCACCUUGAUUAUUUAGAAAUGACAUGCUUACUACUGUAACAAAUCAGCAUUAUGUUGGUCAAUAUUUCACUGUAAAAACAUUUUUUUGUUUCAAUAAAAUAAUAUCAUAUAUUUUGCUAA
Molecule: non-coding RNA, 2249 nt
Organism: Oncorhynchus mykiss (rainbow trout)
Lineage: Eukaryota; Metazoa; Chordata; Actinopteri; Salmoniformes; Salmonidae
Source: RefSeq, a predicted model, not a curated record